Tupaia belangeri chinensis (Chinese tree shrew) is the source of this 181-nucleotide long non-coding RNA. RefSeq lists it as uncharacterized. The transcript is spliced from 3 exons. NCBI's taxonomy places the organism in Eukaryota, Metazoa, Chordata, Mammalia, Scandentia, Tupaiidae. The record is from RefSeq and is a predicted model, not a curated record.
UCUGGAGACUGGCCCCCAAACUUGAGGCUCUGAGGCUGGCACUGUACCUCCUUCUCCUGGGACCCUCCAGUGCUGCUCUGCCCACGUGCACAGAGGAGGAGUACCCUGUGGGUGCCCAGUGCUGUCCCAAGUGCAGCCCAGGGUCCCGUGUGCAGCGUGGCUGUUUCGCGGGUGCCCCCUG